Molecule: small nuclear RNA, 203 nt
Organism: Lolium rigidum
Lineage: Eukaryota; Viridiplantae; Streptophyta; Magnoliopsida; Poales; Poaceae
Product: U2 spliceosomal RNA
Exons: 1
Source: RefSeq, a predicted model, not a curated record
AUACCUUUCUCGGCCUUUUGGCUAAGAUCAAGUGUAGUAUCUGUUCUUAUCAGUUUAUAUGAUAUGUGAGCCAUGUGCCCACAACGAUAUUAAAUUUAUUUUUUGUGGGGUGAGGGUCCACCACAGUGGCUUGCCACUUGGGCCCUUGUGUGUCGCCCUGUGCCUUGCACAGUUGCACUACUGCCUAGGCUGGCGCAGCCCAA